CCUACGGGUGGCAGCAGUGAGGAAUAUUGGUCAAUGGGCGCGAGCCUGAACCAGCCAAGUCGCGUGAGGGAAGACGGUCCUAUGGAUUGUAAACCUCUUUUGGCGGGGAGCAAAAGACGCCACGCGUGGCGUUCCGAGAGUACCCGAAGAGAAAGCAUCGGGUAACUCCGUGCCAGCAGCGGCGGUAAUACGGAGGAGGCGAGGGUUAUCCGGGUUGAUUGGGGUUAAAGGGUGCGCAGGCGGAAGAUCAAAGCACCGGUAAAAUUGAGAGGCUCAACCUCUUCGAGCCGUUGAAACUGGUUUUCUUGAGUGAGCGAGAAGUAUGCGGAAUGCGUGGUGUAGCGGUGAAAUGCAUAGAUAUCACGCAGAACUCCGAUUGCGAAGGCAGCAUACCGGCGCUCAACUGACGCUCAUGCACGAAAGUGUGGGUAUCGAACAGGAUUAGAUACCCUAGUAGUC
RNAcentral lists this ribosomal RNA (459 nucleotides) under uncultured bacterium. Its description in RNAcentral is "partial 16S ribosomal RNA". It matches the Rfam family "Bacterial small subunit ribosomal RNA", at positions 338 to 795 of the family's 1533-position model. The record is from RNAcentral.